AGAAGCGCAUACGGUGGAUGCCUUGGCAGUCAGAGGCGAUGAAAGACGUGGUAGCCUGCGAAAAGCUUCGGGGAGUCGGCAAACAGACUUUGAUCCGGAGAUCUCUGAAUGGGGGAACCCACCUAGGAUAACCUAGGUAUCUUGUACUGAAUCCAUAGGUGCAAGAGGCGAACCAGGGGAACUGAAACAUCUAAGUACCCUGAGGAAAAGAAAUCAACCGAGAUUCCCUUAGUAGUGGCGAGCGAACGGGGAUUAGCCCUUAAGCUUCAUUGAUUUUAGCGGAACGCUCUGGAAAGUGCGGCCAUAGUGGGUGAUAGCCCCGUACGCGAAAGGAUCUUUGAAGUGAAAUCGAGUAGGACGGAGCACGAGAAACUUUGUCUGAACAUGGGGGGACCAUCCUCCAAGGCUAAAUACUACUGACUGACCGAUAGUGAACCAGUACCGUGAGGGAAAGGCGAAAAGAACCCCGGAGAGGGGAGUGAAAUAGAACCUGAAACCGUAUGCGUACAAGCAGUGGGAGCCUACUUGUUAGGUGACUGCGUACCUUUUGUAUAAUGGGUCAGCGACUUAUAUUCAGUGGCAAGCUUAACCGUAUAGGGUAGGCGUAGCGAAAGCGAGUCUUAAUAGGGCGUUUAGUCGCUGGGUAUAGACCCGAAACCGGGCGAUCUAUCCAUGAGCAGGUUGAAGGUUAGGUAACACUGACUGGAGGACCGAACCCACUCCCGUUGAAAAGGUAGGGGAUGACUUGUGGAUCGGAGUGAAAGGCUAAUCAAGCUCGGAGAUAGCUGGUUCUCCUCGAAAGCUAUUUAGGUAGCGCCUCAUGUAUCACUCUGGGGGGUAGAGCACUGUUUCGGCUAGGGGGUCAUCCCGACUUACCAAACCGAUGCAAACUCCGAAUACCCAGAAGUGCCGAGCAUGGGAGACACACGGCGGGUGCUAACGUCCGUCGUGAAAAGGGAAACAACCCAGACCGCCAGCUAAGGUCCCAAAGUUGUGGUUAAGUGGUAAACGAUGUGGGAAGGCUUAGACAGCUAGGAGGUUGGCUUAGAAGCAGCCAUCCUUUAAAGAAAGCGUAAUAGCUCACUAGUCGAGUCGGCCUGCGCGGAAGAUGUAACGGGGCUCAAACCACACACCGAAGCUGCGGGUGUCACGUAAGUGACGCGGUAGAGGAGCGUUCUGUAAGCCUGUGAAGGUGAGUUGAGAAGCUUGCUGGAGGUAUCAGAAGUGCGAAUGCUGACAUGAGUAACGACAAUGGGUGUGAAAAACACCCACGCCGAAAGACCAAGGGUUCCUGCGCAACGUUAAUCGACGCAGGGUUAGUCGGUUCCUAAGGCGAGGCUGAAAAGCGUAGUCGAUGGGAAACAGGUUAAUAUUCCUGUACUUCUGGUUACUGCGAUGGAGGGACGGAGAAGGCUAGGCCAGCUUGGCGUUGGUUGUCCAAGUUUAAGGUGGUAGGCUGAAAUCUUAGGUAAAUCCGGGGUUUCAAGGCCGAGAGCUGAUGACGAGUUGUCUUUUAGAUGACGAAGUGGUUGAUGCCAUGCUUCCAAGAAAAGCUUCUAAGCUUCAGGUAACCAGGAACCGUACCCCAAACCGACACAGGUGGUCGGGUAGAGAAUACCAAGGCGCUUGAGAGAACUCGGGUGAAGGAACUAGGCAAAAUGGCACCGUAACUUCGGGAGAAGGUGCGCCGGCUAGGGUGAAGGAUUUACUCCGUAAGCCNNNNNNNNNNAGAAGGCUAGGCCAGCUUGGCGUUGGUUGUCCAAGUUUAAGGUGGUAGGCUGAAAUCUUAGGUAAAUCCGGGGUUUCAAGGCCGAGAGCUGAUGACGAGUCGUCUUUUAGAUGACGAAGUGGUUGAUGCCAUGCUUCCAAGAAAAGCUUCUAAGCUUCAGGUAACCAGGAACCGUACCCCAAACCGACACAGGUGGUCGGGUAGAGAAUACCAAGGCGCUUGAGAGAACUCGGGUGAAGGAACUAGGCAAAAAUGGCACCGUAACUUCGGGAGAAGGUGCGCCGGCUAGGGUGAAGGAUUUACUCCGUAAGCUCUGGCUGGUCGAAGAUACCAGGCCGCUGCGACUGUUUAUUAAAAACACAGCACUCUGCAAACACGAAAGUGGACGUAUAGGGUGUGACGCCUGCCCGGUGCCGGAAGGUUAAUUGAUGGGGUUAGCGCAAGCGAAGCUCUUGAUCGAAGCCCCGGUAAACGGCGGCCGUAACUAUAACGGUCCUAAGGUAGCGAAAUUCCUUGUCGGGUAAGUUCCGACCUGCACGAAUGGCGUAACGAUGGCGGCGCUGUCUCCACCCGAGACUCAGUGAAAUUGAAAUCGCUGUGAAGAUGCAGUGUAUCCGCGGCUAGACGGAAAGACCCCGUGAACCUUUACUGUAGCUUUGCACUGGACUUUGAGCCUGCUUGUGUAGGAUAGGUGGGAGGCUUUGAAGCGUUGGACGCCAGUUCGCGUGGAGCCAUCCUUGAAAUACCACCCUGGCAUGCUUGAGGUUCUAACUCUGGUCCGUGAUCCGGAUCGAGGACAGUGUAUGGUGGGCAGUUUGACUGGGGCGGUCUCCUCCUAAAGAGUAACGGAGGAGUACGAAGGUGCGCUCAGACCGGUCGGAAAUCGGUCGCAGAGUAUAAAGGCAAAAGCGCGCUUGACUGCGAGACAGACACGUCGAGCAGGUACGAAAGUAGGUCUUAGUGAUCCGGUGGUUCUGUAUGGAAGGGCCAUCGCUCAACGGAUAAAAGGUACUCCGGGGAUAACAGGCUGAUACCGCCCAAGAGUUCAUAUCGACGGCGGUGUUUGGCACCUCGAUGUCGGCUCAUCACAUCCUGGGGCUGAAGCCGGUCCCAAGGGUAUGGCUGUUCGCCAUUUAAAGUGGUACGCGAGCUGGGUUUAGAACGUCGUGAGACAGUUCGGUCCCUAUCUGCCGUGGACGUUUGAGAUUUGAGAGGGGCUGCUCCUAGUACGAGAGGACCGGAGUGGACGAACCUCUGGUGUUCCGGUUGUCACGCCAGUGGCAUUGCCGGGUAGCUAUGUUCGGAAAAGAUAACCGCUGAAAGCAUCUAAGCGGGAAACUUGCCUCAAGAUGAGAUCUCACUGGGAACUUGAUUCCCCUGAAGGGCCGUCGAAGACUACGACGUUGAUAGGCUGGGUGUGUAAGCGUUGUGAGGCGUUGAGCUAACCAGUACUAAUUGCCCGUGAGGCUUGACC
This 3203-nucleotide ribosomal RNA is filed under the name Pseudomonas aeruginosa. RNAcentral's name for it is "bacterial LSU rRNA". It matches the Rfam family "Bacterial large subunit ribosomal RNA". The record is from RNAcentral. Lineage: Bacteria; Pseudomonadati; Pseudomonadota; Gammaproteobacteria; Pseudomonadales; Pseudomonadaceae.